UAGUCCACACCGUAAACGAUGAAUGCCAGUCGUCGGGUAGCAUGCUAUUCGGUGACACACCUAACGGAUUAAGCAUUCCGCCUGGGGAGUACGCCGGCAACGGUAAAACUCAAAUGAAUUGACGGGGGCCCGCACAAGCGGUGGAGCAUGUGGUUUAAUUCGAUGCAACGCGAAGAACCUUACCUACACUUGACAUUCAGCGAACUUACCAGAGAUGGUUUGGUGCCUUCGGGAACGCUGGGACAGGUGCUGCAUGGCUGUCGUCAGCUCGUGUCGUGAGAUGUCGGGUUAAGUCCCUUAACGAGCGAAACCCUUAUCAUUAGUUGCCAGCGAGUCAUGUCGGGGACUCUAAUGAGACUGCCGGUGUUAAACCGGAGGAAGGUGGGGAUGACGUCAAGUCCUCAUGGCCUUUAUGCCUAGGGCUGCACACGUCCUACAAUGCACUGUACAAAGCGACGCAAAAUCGCAAGAUCUAGCAAACCGCAUAAAGCAGUGCC
This 497-nucleotide ribosomal RNA is filed under the name uncultured bacterium. Its description in RNAcentral is "bacterial SSU rRNA". It matches the Rfam family "Bacterial small subunit ribosomal RNA", at positions 791 to 1288 of the family's 1533-position model. The record is from RNAcentral.